AGCAGCCGCGGUAAUUCCAGCUCCAAUAGCGUAUAUUAAAGUUGUUGCAGUUAAAAGCUCGUAGUUGAAUUUCGGGAUCAGUUCGCUGGUCGUGCCUUGGUAUGUACUGGUGUUACUGGUUCCUACCUUCUGACGAACCGUCAUGUCAUUAAUUUGGUGUGGCGGGGAAUCAGGACUGUUACCUUGAAAAAUUAGAGUGUUUAAAGCAGGCUCGCGCUUGAAUACAUUAGCAUGGAAUAAUGAAAUAGGACGUUCGAUCCUACUUUGUUGGUUUCUAGGAUUGACGUAAUGAUUAAUAGGGAUAGUUGGGGGCAUUAGUAUUCAAUUGUCAGAGGUGAAAUUCUUGGAUUUAUUGAAGACUAACUACUGCGAAAAGCAUUUGCCAAGGAUGUUUUCAUUAAUCAAGAACGAAGUUAGGGGAUCGAAGACGAUCAGAUACCGUCGUAGUCUUAACCAUAAAACUAUGCCGACUAGGGAUCGGAUGAUGUUAAUUUUUUAAUGACUCAUUCGGCGCCUUAUC
RNAcentral lists this ribosomal RNA (520 nucleotides) under uncultured Glomeromycotina. RNAcentral describes it as "SSU rRNA". It matches the Rfam family "Eukaryotic small subunit ribosomal RNA", at positions 569 to 1092 of the family's 1831-position model. The record is from RNAcentral. Lineage: Eukaryota; Fungi; Glomeromycota.